ACACUUACCUGCUCUGUGGUAUGGAUUAAACCUGAUAUGGGUAUUAUCUUUAACUGUACAUAUACUGGUCCAGACCAUUCCCAGGGUAAGCUGUAUGAGAAUGUGAUACAACAGGAUGGUGGAAAUUGAUUCAGAUUCUUAGGGAACUUCAGGAACAAUGAUAUCUCAAUAAUGAUGGAGGGACUGAACCAAGAAGAUGCUGGUCUUUAUGAGUGUCAUGUGAAGUUCAAUAUUGGCAGUUUUCAACCACAGUCUCCAACAAUGCCGGAAGUGGAAGAAAAAUGCAGAAGUUACUGCUCUUCCUGGGCGCUACCGAAGAACUGUUGAUCAACUUAAGUGGGGAAAUCAGCCUGCAAUAGGGAAGAAAGUCAAGACUCAAGGUGUGCUGCUGAUCAUUCGCCUCCUCAGUCCUUAUGUGGACAGCAUCCUGACUCUGACUGCCCUGAGCAGUGCCUGUACAUAUCAGUAGUUGCACUUGGCUCAGUGUGCGAGGAGACCCCCCAGAAAGGCCGUCACCCUGACCCAACUGCUGAUGACUGACAACAAUUACAAGCUUCUUAUGUCUGUUCUAACUCCAUAACAAGACAGCAGUAAUAUGAGCGCGGUAUCUCUGGCUGAAGGAGCAAAGUGCUAAAAGGCAAAUCAGGGAUAUUGUGAGCAUUCAGGGGUAUUGUUAAGGAGGGAAUUCCAGAAUAUUGACCCAGCAACACUGAAGGAAUGACAAUAUGUUUCAAGGCCAGAAUGGUGAGUAUCUUGGA
Rhincodon typus (whale shark) is the source of this 758-nucleotide long non-coding RNA. RefSeq lists it as uncharacterized. The record is from RefSeq and is a predicted model, not a curated record. The transcript is spliced from 3 exons. Lineage: Eukaryota; Metazoa; Chordata; Chondrichthyes; Orectolobiformes; Rhincodontidae.